RNAcentral lists this unclassified non-coding RNA (348 nucleotides) under soil metagenome. RNAcentral's name for it is "partial contains 5.8S ribosomal RNA, internal transcribed spacer 2, and large subunit ribosomal RNA". The stretch from base 1 to 120 matches the Rfam family "5.8S ribosomal RNA", at positions 35 to 154 of the family's 154-position model. The record is from RNAcentral.
GAUGAAGAACGUAGCAAAAUGCGAUAAGUAAUGUGAAUUGCAGAAUUCAGUGAAUCAUCGAAUCUUUGAACGCACAUUGCGCCCGCUGGUAUUCCGGCGGGCAUGCCUGUUCGAGCGUCAUUUCAACCCUCAAGCCCCCGGGUUUGGUGUUGGGGAUCGGCUCUGCCCUUCUGGGCGGUGCCGCCCCCGAAAUACAUUGGCGGUCUCGCUGCAGCCUCCAUUGCGUAGUAGCUAACACCUCGCAACUGGAACGCGGCGCGGCCAUGCCGUAAAACCCCAACUUCUGAAUGUUGACCUCGGAUCAGGUAGGAAUACCCGCUGAACUUAAGCAUAUCGAUAAGCGGAGGA